GCUUAUACUUGAGGCGUCGGCGGCGGCAGGAGCGACUGAGGGCGCGGGCGCGUUCGCCCCGUCCGUCACCAGGCCCCGACGAGUAGGAGGGUCACGACGGUGACCGCAGAAGAGCUGGCCGCGAGGCCAUCUGGAGAACUGACGUGGAGAAGGGUUUCGUGUGAACAGCCGCUGCACACAAGUCAGUCGAUCCUAAACCCUGUGCGAAAGCCGAUGUCGAUGUGGUGUAGAUUGAUAUAAUUCGAUGAUGAUGAUAAUUCAUGUACAGUAAUUUAAUCGAUCGGCGCGCAGCACACACCCGUCGGGCGAAAGGGAAUCCGGUUCCUAUUCCGGAACCUGGCAGCGGAACCGUCAAUAAGUCGGGC
This 365-nucleotide ribosomal RNA is filed under the name Onyxacalles luigionii. RNAcentral's name for it is "eukaryotic LSU rRNA". The stretch from base 138 to 365 matches the Rfam family "Eukaryotic large subunit ribosomal RNA", at positions 1490 to 1663 of the family's 3401-position model. The record is from RNAcentral. RNAcentral also lists the same sequence under 1 other name. Lineage: Eukaryota; Metazoa; Arthropoda; Insecta; Coleoptera; Curculionidae.